UUAAGCGACUAAGCGUACACGGUGGAUGCCCUGGCAGUCAGAGGCGAUGAAGGACGUGCUAAUCUGCGAUAAGCGUCGGUAAGGUGAUAUGAACCGUUAUAACCGGCGAUUUCCGAAUGGGGAAACCCAGUGUGUUUCGACACACUAUCAUUAACUGAAUCCAUAGGUUAAUGAGGCGAACCGGGGGAACUGAAACAUCUAAGUACCCCGAGGAAAAGAAAUCAACCGAGAUUCCCCCAGUAGCGGCGAGCGAACGGGGAGGAGCCCAGAGCCUGAAUCAGUAUGUGUGUUAGUGGAAGCGUCUGGAAAGGCGCGCGAUACAGGGUGACAGCCCCGUACACAAAAAUGCACAUGCUGUGAGCUCGAUGAGUAGGGCGGGACACGUGGUAUCCUGUCUGAAUAUGGGGGGACCAUCCUCCAAGGCUAAAUACUCCUGACUGACCGAUAGUGAACCAGUACCGUGAGGGAAAGGCGAAAAGAACCCCGGCGAGGGGAGUGAAAAAGAACCUGAAACCGUGUACGUACAAGCAGUGGGAGCACGCUUAGGCGUGUGACUGCGUACCUUUUGUAUAAUGGGUCAGCGACUUAUAUUCUGUAGCAAGGUUAACCGAAUAGGGGAGCCGAAGGGAAACCGAGUCUUAACUGGGCGUUAAGUUGCAGGGUAUAGACCCGAAACCCGGUGAUCUAGCCAUGGGCAGGUUGAAGGUUGGGUAACACUAACUGGAGGACCGAACCGACUAAUGUUGAAAAAUUAGCGGAUGACUUGUGGCUGGGGGUGAAAGGCCAAUCAAACCGGGAGAUAGCUGGUUCUCCCCGAAAGCUAUUUAGGUAGCGCCUCGUGAAUUCAUCUCCGGGGGUAGAGCACUGUUUCGGCAAGGGGGUCAUCCCGACUUACCAACCCGAUGCAAACUGCGAAUACCGGAGAAUGUUAUCACGGGAGACACACGGCGGGUGCUAACGUCCGUCGUGAAGAGGGAAACAACCCAGACCGCCAGCUAAGGUCCCAAAGUCAUGGUUAAGUGGGAAACGAUGUGGGAAGGCCCAGACAGCCAGGAUGUUGGCUUAGAAGCAGCCAUCAUUUAAAGAAAGCGUAAUAGCUCACUGGUCGAGUCGGCCUGCGCGGAAGAUGUAACGGGGCUAAACCAUGCACCGAAGCUGCGGCAGCGACGCUUAUGCGUUGUUGGGUAGGGGAGCGUUCUGUAAGCCUGUGAAGGUGUGCUGUGAGGCAUGCUGGAGGUAUCAGAAGUGCGAAUGCUGACAUAAGUAACGAUAAAGCGGGUGAAAAGCCCGCUCGCCGGAAGACCAAGGGUUCCUGUCCAACGUUAAUCGGGGCAGGGUGAGUCGACCCCUAAGGCGAGGCCGAAAGGCGUAGUCGAUGGGAAACAGGUUAAUAUUCCUGUACUUGGUGUUACUGCGAAGGGGGGACGGAGAAGGCUAUGUUGGCCGGGCGACGGUUGUCCCGGUUUAAGCGUGUAGGCUGGUUUUCCAGGCAAAUCCGGAAAAUCAAGGCUGAGGCGUGAUGACGAGGCACUACGGUGCUGAAGCAACAAAUGCCCUGCUUCCAGGAAAAGCCUCUAAGCAUCAGGUAACAUCAAAUCGUACCCCAAACCGACACAGGUGGUCAGGUAGAGAAUACCAAGGCGCUUGAGAGAACUCGGGUGAAGGAACUAGGCAAAAUGGUGCCGUAACUUCGGGAGAAGGCACGCUGAUAUGUAGGUGAAGUCCCUUGCGGAUGGAGCUGAAAUCAGUCGAAGAUACCAGCUGGCUGCAACUGUUUAUUAAAAACACAGCACUGUGCAAACACGAAAGUGGACGUAUACGGUGUGACGCCUGCCCGGUGCCGGAAGGUUAAUUGAUGGGGUUAGCGGUAACGCGAAGCUCUUGAUCGAAGCCCCGGUAAACGGCGGCCGUAACUAUAACGGUCCUAAGGUAGCGAAAUUCCUUGUCGGGUAAGUUCCGACCUGCACGAAUGGCGUAAUGAUGGCCAGGCUGUCUCCACCCGAGACUCAGUGAAAUUGAACUCGCUGUGAAGAUGCAGUGUACCCGCGGCAAGACGGAAAGACCCCGUGAACCUUUACUAUAGCUUGACACUGAACAUUGAGCCUUGAUGUGUAGGAUAGGUGGGAGGCUUUGAAGUGUGGACGCCAGUCUGCAUGGAGCCGACCUUGAAAUACCACCCUUUAAUGUUUGAUGUUCUAACGUUGACCCGUAAUCCGGGUUGCGGACAGUGUCUGGUGGGUAGUUUGACUGGGGCGGUCUCCUCCUAAAGAGUAACGGAGGAGCACGAAGGUUGGCUAAUCCUGGUCGGACAUCAGGAGGUUAGUGCAAUGGCAUAAGCCAGCUUGACUGCGAGCGUGACGGCGCGAGCAGGUGCGAAAGCAGGUCAUAGUGAUCCGGUGGUUCUGAAUGGAAGGGCCAUCGCUCAACGGAUAAAAGGUACUCCGGGGAUAACAGGCUGAUACCGCCCAAGAGUUCAUAUCGACGGCGGUGUUUGGCACCUCGAUGUCGGCUCAUCACAUCCUGGGGCUGAAGUAGGUCCCAAGGGUAUGGCUGUUCGCCAUUUAAAGUGGUACGCGAGCUGGGUUUAGAACGUCGUGAGACAGUUCGGUCCCUAUCUGCCGUGGGCGCUGGAGAACUGAGGGGGGCUGCUCCUAGUACGAGAGGACCGGAGUGGACGCAUCACUGGUGUUCGGGUUGUCAUGCCAAUGGCACUGCCCGGUAGCUAAAUGCGGAAGAGAUAAGUGCUGAAAGCAUCUAAGCACGAAACUUGCCCCGAGAUGAGUUCUCCCUGACUCCUUGAGAGUCCUGAAGGAACGUUGAAGACGACGACGUUGAUAGGCCGGGUGUGUAAGCGCAGCGAUGCGUUGAGCUAACCGGUACUAAUGAACCGUGAGGCUUAACCUU
Molecule: ribosomal RNA, 2904 nt
Filed under: Escherichia coli
Lineage: Bacteria; Pseudomonadati; Pseudomonadota; Gammaproteobacteria; Enterobacterales; Enterobacteriaceae
Description: 23S ribosomal RNA
Rfam family: Bacterial large subunit ribosomal RNA
Source: RNAcentral